AUUGAACGCUGGCGGCAUGCUUUACACAUGCAAGUCGAACGGUAACAGGUUAAGCUGACGAGUGGCGAACGGGUGAGUAAUGCAUCGGAACGUGCCCGAUCGUGGGGGAUAACGCAGCGAAAGCUGCGCUAAUACCGCAUACGAUCUGAGGAUGAAAGCGGGGGACCGUAAGGCCUCGCGCGAUCGGAGCGGCCGAUGUCAGAUUAGGUAGUUGGUGGGGUAAAGGCUCACCAAGCCGACGAUCUGUAGCUGGUCUGAGAGGACGACCAGCCACACUGGGACUGAGACACGGCCCAGACUCCGACGGGAGGCAGAAGUGGGGAAUUUUGGACAAUGGGGGAAAGCCUGAUCCAGCAAUGCCGCGUGCAGGAAGAAGGCCUUCGGGUUGUAAACUGCUUUUGUACGGAGCGAAAAGGGUAUCUCUAAUACAGGGGGCUCAUGACGGUACCGUAAGAAUAAGCACCGGCUAACUACGUGCCAGCCGCCGCCGUAA
This 493-nucleotide ribosomal RNA is filed under the name uncultured bacterium. RNAcentral's name for it is "partial 16S ribosomal RNA". It matches the Rfam family "Bacterial small subunit ribosomal RNA", at positions 29 to 523 of the family's 1533-position model. The record is from RNAcentral.